Molecule: long non-coding RNA, 1468 nt
Organism: Pimephales promelas (fathead minnow)
Lineage: Eukaryota; Metazoa; Chordata; Actinopteri; Cypriniformes; Leuciscidae
Source: RefSeq, a predicted model, not a curated record
CCAGAGUUUCAAGAAGAUUGGAGACCUGAGUGCAAAAAUUGAGGCUCUAGACCCUUCCAGAGCUCAGAUAUUGGCUGCGUCCGGAAUCGCAUACUUCCCUUCUAUAUAGAGUAGGCGAGCAAAAAUGUACGUUCGAAUCCUCAGUAUUCAUAAAAGAGUAGGCAAGACUUACCUGGUUGACGCACUAAUUAUCUCGAGAUUUGAACGAGUGCGUUCGAAUAUCCCUACUUUCCUACCAUAUAAGCGAAAACAGGACGUGAAAGAAGCAGUACUUUCGAAAAUCAGAAUUCAUAAAAGAGUAGGCGAGAAGUUCCCUGAUGAUCUCCCUCUUUCGCCCAGAUAUUUGAGUGCUUGUCCGAUUGUACUCAUCUAUCCCAGGAGGCCACGCGAAAGGAUACGUCAAUAUCAACAUCGCGGAGAUCAGCGACCCCGGGGGUUUUCAAAUGUGAGUAAACACGGUUCCUUGUGUUUAAAUCGUAUGUGUUAAACUACUAUAGAUUAAUGUUUUAACAGUUGAAGGUGAAAAGGAUUUAGACAGUAUAGUAUAGUUGUGAUUUUGCUGUAAACACACGUUUCAUUAUGUGUAGCUAGUUAACAGGGGAGCUCCAGUACACAUAACGUUACGUUUCUAAAGUGGAUUUACAUAACAGUACACCUUUAUUUAAAAUGUCUUUUACAUCAGGAAGGAAAAUAUUCUAUAAGUAUUGGAGAUGAGCACAUCACAACAUGAAAAACUAAUCUGAGUGUAAGGUUAUGUGUGCUGUGCUAUUAUGUACGAUAAUUCGCUGUUGUCAACACUGUUAACAUUAGACAAAUGUGCUGUAAAUAAGGCAAAUAAACAACUCUAUAAAGUAACUAAACAUGAUAUAUUUUUAAUUUGUCCCUUAUUAGUGUUGAUAUAUUGAGGAACAUUUAAGUUGGAUUAAAAGUGAGUUAACACAUCAAUCUCUCAGCAUGUAAAUGCAGUGUUGAGCUAGUAAUGUGAAUCUGUCUGUAUGUUACAGGGACAUGAGAACACGCGUGUGUUUAUCCAGUGGAGAGGCUCAUGAUGCUGAAUCAUGUCAUCAAAGGAUUUGAAGUGCAGAACUUUUGUGGUGGAGCAGGACCUGCAAGGAAAGAUGAUGGCAGCAGCAUUUGAUGGGGAAAAGAAGGUUUUAGGGAAUUUAUUCAAAUAUAAAGAUCUGAAAUGUCUGCAGACUGGUGUGAGCACUGGGGAUGAGGAGCCCAAAGCUGAAUCCUGGAAGUGGUGCCAUGGAUGAGUCCCUCCAUCUCUCCAUCUGCCCUUAUGAGUCCCUCCAUCACUCCACCUGCCCUUACGAGACCCUCCAUCUCUCCACCUGCCCUUAUUGCCUCAGAUUGUGAAGCGCUUGCAGUUGGAUGUGGUGUUCAGAGCCUGUAAAUACAUGCUUGUAGUUUGAACAAAGCUUUGUUUCAUGUGUUGUUGACUUGUAUAUGCAUUUAAUUAUUG